CAGAAACUCAGCCUGAGAAUCCCUGGUCCCUUCUCUGAUGCUAUUUUCCCUACUUCCAAGAGUUGGGUCCAGCAGACAAGUGACAAGCCUGGGGAAGUUGACUCUGAGUCUCUCUAAGCUUUCAAAGAUUUUGUGUCUCUUCCUUCUCAAAAGGGGAAAUACGCAGGAUGUAACACCUCAUCGAAGCAGUGCAUCUUCAUUGAUGGAGAAGGUGGUUUCAACAAUUUACAUUCCCUGGUUGGUGAAGAAUUUGAAGUUCUACUUUACACAAAAUGAUAUUACUUGAAUCUGACAGUGAACAGUCAAAGCUAUGAAACCGCAUAGGAAAGUUUUGAACGGGAACUAAUCCUCACAGUGUGAAGUUGGAAUGAUUAUUUAGACAUUUUGGGAAAAAGCCAACUGC
This 403-nucleotide long non-coding RNA is filed under the name Bos indicus x Bos taurus (hybrid cattle). RNAcentral's name for it is "lncRNA (ENSBIXG00005029101.1)". Lineage: Eukaryota; Metazoa; Chordata; Mammalia; Artiodactyla; Bovidae. The record is from RNAcentral.